RNAcentral lists this ribosomal RNA (2031 nucleotides) under Triticum aestivum (bread wheat). RNAcentral describes it as "partial small subunit ribosomal RNA". Lineage: Eukaryota; Viridiplantae; Streptophyta; Magnoliopsida; Poales; Poaceae. The record is from RNAcentral.
AUGAGCAGCUUAGCCAAUUGCACCGAGUUACAAAUUUUUUCAAUGAAAUGGAAUCACCUACAAGGAAAUGUACCAAAUUCAUUGGGAAACCUUUCUGACCAGCUCCAACAUCUUUUUCUGGGAACAAAUGAAUUUUCAGGAGGUUUCCCUUCUGGCAUAGAAAAUCUUCGAGGCCUAUUCAGUUUAGGGUUAGAAGAAAAUCAGUUGACAGGUGUUUUUCCAGAAUGGCUUGGAACUCUACACAAUUUACAAGGAAUAGAGCUAGCUAACAACUCCUUUACAGGGGUUAUUCCAUCAUCCCUCACAAACUUAUCUCAGCUGACAGAACUCCUUCUAGAAUCUAACCAUUUAUAUGGAAAUAUACCCCCAAGUUUGGGAAACCUUAAGGUCCUUGAAAAAUUGAGCAUUUCCAACAACAAUCUUCAUGGCAGCAUACCAAAAGAGAUCUUCAGCAUUCCUACAAUAAGUCGAAUUGGGUUAUCUAACAGUAAACUAGAUGGGCCACUUCCUAUAGAAAUAGGAGAUGCCAAGCAACUGUUGUAUCUGCUAAUUUCAUCAAAUAACCUGUCUGGUGUCAUCCCUGAGACACUCGAUGGCUGUGAAAGUUUGGAAGUCAUUGAGUUGGAUCAGAAUUCCCUUAGUGGAAGAAUUCCAACUUCAUUAGGAAUCAUAAGCAACUUGGAAGUGCUUACUGUGUCUCACAACCACUUAUCUGGAUCCAUACCAAAGUCCAUUGCGCCUCUGAAAUUCCUUCAACAACUAGAUCUGUCAUUCAACCGUCUUGAUGGUGAAGUUCCAGAAGAAGGUGUCUUCAAGAACACAACUGCCAUACGCAUCGGCGGAAAUCAUGGGCUCUGCGGUGGAGUCCUAGAGCUAGACCUACCUGCAUGCCAUGUUACAACUUCAAGCCCGUCCACACACACUUGGCCACUAUGUUCCAAAGUGAUGAUUCCACUAGCUAGCAUGGUGCUACUUGCCGGUUUCGUGUCCAUGCUCCUUUUCUGGAGGAAAAAACAAAGGAGAGAAUCGAUGUCUCUACCUUCUUUUGGUAGAAAAUUUCCCAAAGUUUCUUAUGAUGAUAUUGCCAAAGCAACUGAAGGUUUCUCCUUGUCCAGCUUAACCGGCAGUGGAAGAUACAGUUCUGUAUAUAAAGCGAAACUGUUUCGAGAUGAAAAUGUGACUGCGGUGAAAGUCUUUUCUCUCGAGACAAGGGGAGCACAAAAGAGCUUCAUCACAGAAUGCAAUGCUUUGAGGAACGUGCGUCACCGCAAUCUAGUCCAUGUCCUUACUGCAUGCUCUGGCAUUGAUUCUAGAGGAAUCGACUUCAAAGCACUAGUGUAUGAGUUCAUGCCACGAGGAGACUUGCAUAAAUUUCUACACUCGGCUCGGGGUGACGAAAGCUCUUCAAAUUCGAACUGCAUUUCGCUGGCUCAAAGGCUGAGCAUCGUGGCAGAUGUAUCAGAUGCAGUGGCGUACCUUCACCAAGAGGGUAUUGUUCAUUGUGAUCUGAAACCUAGCAACAUUCUCCUAGACGAUGAUAUGGUAGCUCAUGUUGGGGACUUCGGGAUUGCAAGGUUGCCGAUUCAUACCGCAACAUCGUCUUCUGAAUCAACUUCGGCGUCUUCGGUUGCAAUAAAGGGAACCAUAGGAUAUGUUGCUCCAGAAUGUGCAGGGGGCGGUCAGGUUUCGACUGCUUCGGAUGUUUACAGCUUCGGAGUCGUCCUCCUUGAAGUAUUCAUUCGAAGGAGGCCAACGGAUGCCAUGUUCAAGGACGGAUUGAGCAUUGCAAAGUUUGCAGAGAUCAACUUCCCUGAUAAAGUGUUGCAGAUUCUUGACCCUGAACUGCUGCAGGAGCUGAACCUCUGCCGGGAAACUCCGAUGGAUGCUGUCGAGAAAAAUGGAGUGCAGAGUCUCCUUUCUGUGACUAGUAUUGGGCUGUCUUGCACCAGGUCGUCCCCAAGUGAGCGCAUCAGCAUGCAGGAGGUGGCUGCCAAGCUGCAUGGGAUCAGAGAUGAGUAUCUCUUUACAUAA